AGCGAACGCUGGCGGCAGGCCUAACACAUGCAAGUCGAACGCACCUUCGGGUGAGUGGCGGACGGGUGAGUAACACGUGGGAACGUACCUUUUGGUUCGGAAUAACGCAGGGAAACUUGUGCUAAUACCGAAUGUGCCCUUCGGGGGAAAGAUUUAUUGCCAUUAGAGCGGCCCGCGUUAGAUUAGCUAGUUGGUGAGGU
RNAcentral lists this ribosomal RNA (200 nucleotides) under uncultured bacterium. Its description in RNAcentral is "partial 16S ribosomal RNA". It matches the Rfam family "Bacterial small subunit ribosomal RNA", at positions 29 to 258 of the family's 1533-position model. The record is from RNAcentral.